UACGAAGGGGGCGAGCGUUGUUCGGAAUUACUGGGCGUAAAGGGCGCGUAGGCGGCGAACCAAGUCAGAUGUGAAAGUCCUGGGCUUAACCUGGGGACUGCAUUUGAUACUGGUUUGCUUGAAUUCGGGAGAGGAUAGCGGAAUUCCCAGUGUAGAGGUGAAAUUCGUAGAUAUUGGGAAGAACACCGGUGGCGAAGGCGGCUAUCUGGACCGACAUUGACGCUGAGGCGCGAAAGCGUGGGGAGCGAACAGG
Molecule: ribosomal RNA, 253 nt
Filed under: uncultured bacterium
Lineage: Bacteria
Description: partial 16S ribosomal RNA
Rfam family: Bacterial small subunit ribosomal RNA
Source: RNAcentral